GCCCGCCUAGCUCAAUCGGAUAGAGCGUCAGACUCUUACGGCUGCGGGGCCACAUUAAUCACGUGAUCGAAGCGAUCUGAAGGCUGCGAGUUCGACCCUCGCGGUGGGCU
Molecule: transfer RNA, 110 nt
Filed under: Ganoderma leucocontextum
Lineage: Eukaryota; Fungi; Basidiomycota; Agaricomycetes; Polyporales; Polyporaceae
Description: tRNA-Lys
Rfam family: tRNA
About the family: Transfer RNA (tRNA) molecules are approximately 80 nucleotides in length. Their secondary structure includes four short double-helical elements and three loops (D, anti-codon, and T loops).
Source: RNAcentral